CCCGCACCUGCCGCCGCACCUGCCCCCGCACCUGCCGCCCCGCGGCCCGGCCCCAGCAUGGCUGACCAGGCGCCCUUCGACACGGACGUCAACACCCUGACCCGCUUCGUCAUGGAGGAGGGCAGGAAGGCCCGCGGCACGGGUGAGCUGACCCAGCUGCUCAACUCGCUCUGCACGGCCGUCAAAGCCAUCUCCUCCGCGGUGCGCAAGGCCGGCAUCGCGCACCUCUAUGGCAUUGCUGGUUCUACCAACGUGACGGGUGAUCAAGUUAAGAAGCUGGACGUCCUCUCCAACGACCUGGUUAUGAACAUGUUAAAGUCAUCCUUUGCCACGUGUGUUCUCGUGUCAGAAGAAGAUAAACACGCCAUCAUAGUGGAACCAGAGAAAAGGGGUAAAUAUGUGGUCUGUUUUGAUCCCCUUGAUGGAUCUUCCAACAUCGAUUGCCUUGUGUCCAUUGGAACCAUUUUUGGCAUCUAUAGAAAGAAAUCAACUGAUGAGCCUUCCGAAAAGGACGCUCUGCAGCCAGGCCGGAACCUGGUGGCGGCCGGCUACGCGCUGUAUGGCAGUGCCACCAUGCUGGUCCUUGCCAUGGACUGCGGGGUCAACUGCUUCAUGCUGGACCCGGCCAUCGGGGAGUUCAUUUUGGUGGACAAAGAUGUGAAGAUCAAAAAGAAAGGUAAAAUCUACAGCCUUAACGAGGGCUACGCAAGGACUUUGACCCUGCUGUCACUGAGUACAUCCAGAGGAAGAAGUUCCCCCCAGAUAAUUCAGCCCCCUAUGGAGCCCGGUACGUGGGCUCCAUGGUGGCCGAUGUUCACCGCACUCUGGUCUACGGAGGGAUAUUUCUGUACCCUGCUAACAAGAAGAGCCCCAGCGGAAAGCUGCGACUGCUGUACGAAUGCAACCCAUGGCCUACGUCAUGGAGAAGGCCCGGGGAAUGGCCACACCGGGAAGGAGGCCGUGCUGGACGUCGUUCCCACAGACAUUCACCAGAGGGCGCCGGUGAUCCUGGGGUCCCCCGACGACGUGCUCGAGUUCCUGGAGGUGUCUAAGCAGCACUCUGCCCAGUGAGCACCUGCCCUGCCUGCGUCCCGGAGAACUGCCUCCGCCUGGACCUGUUGUCACACACGGCAGCGCCCCGACCCGCUGUGUCCCACACGGCAGCGCCCCGACCUGCUGUGUCCCUUACAUUCCUAGACAGUGGAAAUAAAACGCACGGCUGUUUCCACCGUCAGACGCUGUGGAAUGCCCGGCCCUCCCUGACCAAAUGCUGUCUCCGAAACGCCACUGGUGGCAAGAUGCAGUUUGAGUGGAUGGAGGAGAAAUAAACUUAUCCCUCCCUUAAAAAAA
Macaca mulatta (Rhesus monkey) is the source of this 1350-nucleotide non-coding RNA. The record is from RefSeq and is a predicted model, not a curated record. Lineage: Eukaryota; Metazoa; Chordata; Mammalia; Primates; Cercopithecidae.